UGAAUACGAGACGCUAAGGCGUCGAAGUAGUGUAUGUCAUACUUCCAAGAAAAGCUUGCACUGUCAUAGAUAAAAAACGCCUGUACCAUAACCGACACAGGUGGGUAGGUAGAGUAUACUAAGGGGCGCGAGAUAACUCUCUCUAAGGAACUCGGCAAAAUAACUCCGUAACUUCGGGAGAAGGAGUGCCUUAUUUAUAAGGCUGCAAUAACAAGAUCCAAGCAACUGUUUAUCAAAAACACAGGUCUCCGCUAAGUCGUAAGACGAUGUAUGGGGGCUGACGCCUGCCCAGUGCCAGAAGGUUAAAGAAGUUGGUUAGCUUUUGCGAAGCUGAUAACUGAAGCCCUGGUGAACGGCGGCCGUAACAAUAACGGUCCUAAGGUAGCGAAAUUCCUUGUCGGGUAAGUUCCGACCCGCACGAAAGGCGUAAUGAUUUGGAUACUGUCUCGGAGAGGGGCUCGGUGAAAUAGACUUGUCUGUGAAGAUGCGGACUACCUGCACCAGGACAGAAAGACCCUAUGAAGCUUUACUGUAACUUGAAAUUGAAAUUGGACUUUAUUCGCGCAGCAUAGGUGGGAGGCGUUGAUUAUAAUCUCGUGGGAUUAUUGGAGCCAUCAGUGAGAUACCACUCUUGUAAUGUUAGAUUUCUAACUUUGAAUCAUUAUCUGGUCAAAGAACAGUUUCAGGCGGGCAGUUUGACUGGGGCGGUCGCCUCCUAAACGGUAACGGAGGCGUACAAAGGUUUCCUCUGAACGGUUAGAAAUCGUAUCUAGAGUGUAAAGGCAUAAGGAAGCUUGACUGUGAGACCUACAAGUCGAGCAGGGACGAAAGUCGGUCUUAGUGAUCUGACGGUACUGAGUGGAAAGGCCGUCACUCAACGGAUAAAAGUUACUCUAGGAUAACAGGCUGAUCUCCCCCAAGAGUUCACAUCGACGGGGAGGUUUGGCACCUGGAUGUCGGCUCAUCGCAUCCUGGGGCGGUAGUACGUCCCAAGGGUUGGGCUGUUCGCCCAUGAAAGCGGUACGCGAGCUGGGUUCAGAACGUCGUGAGACAGUUCGGUCCAUAUCCGGUGUAGGCGUUAGAAUAUUGAGAGGAGCCUUCUUUAGUACGAGAGGACCGAGAAGGACAUACCUCUGGUGUACCAGUUAUCGUGCCAACGGUAAACGCUGGGUAGCUAUGUAUGGAGUGGAUAACCGCUGAAAGCAUCUAAGUGGGAAGCCCACCUCAAGAUAAGUAUUCUCAU
This 1243-nucleotide ribosomal RNA is filed under the name metagenome. RNAcentral describes it as "bacterial LSU rRNA". It matches the Rfam family "Bacterial large subunit ribosomal RNA", at positions 1564 to 2817 of the family's 2925-position model. The record is from RNAcentral.